UGCCGGACGGCUGGCUUGUGGGUAAGUUAUAUUUGCAAUUUCAUACAAAGACACUUCAAAUAUUAUUUUAAAGGUGAUAUGUAUGUAUUUUCCAGAAAUGUUGCCCUAUUUUCAGUCUGGCUACAAUAGAUGCACUAUGCAUCUUGGGACCUGUAGUUUAGUUCAAUCAGCUCACUUUGUUAGGGCUUUUAAUUCUUGCCACCUGAUUCAGUUUACAGGUGAGAUGUGUUAAGUGGAUGAUUUCUUAAUGGAUCUGCACACACACAAUUUUUGACAUUUGGGGGGAGGGGAAUUCCCUCUUUUAUUGUGCCAGCAAUGUUGUUUGGCUAACAAAAGGGGUAAAGUAAGUACCCCAACAGCAAAGAAUUUGUGUGUAGAUCUGUUUGUAAAGAUUGUACUACUACACAAUGGACAUAACUACACCAUUGGAAUAGUCAACACAACAGACAACUGGAAUCAAUUACUAUAAUAUAUUUUGGUUUACAUUUUUAGGAGACGCAGGAUAUGGACUUCUGCCUUGGUUGAUGACCCCUGUGAGGUUUGCCCAAACACCUGCCCAACGUAGGUACAAUCGUGCCCAUCGGAAGACACGUAAUAUCAUUGAGCGCCUCUUUGGGGUGCUCAAAUCUCGCUUCCGAUGCCUCUCAGUCACUGGGGGAGCUCUGCUUUAUUCCCCCCAGAAGGUUUCACAAAUCAUCACUGUCUGUGCCAUGCUGCAUAAUGUGGCAAGGGAGCAUGGAUUACCUGCAGACAUUGAUGAUGACCUGGAACCUGAGAUUGAGGGGUAUGUUGCCAGACAGAGGGACAACCAACCAGAGGGAAGAAGAGUGUGUGAAAGGCUCAUCCGUGCCCACUUUUAGUUCCUGCUGAUGGUGAUGUGCUGACGUGCCCCUAGCAGUGAAUGCUUUCCUGUAACAUCUUAUGCUCUUUCUGGCCUCCUACUGUGUUAUGGUUGUGGUUCAUGUGUGUCGUACUCUACUUUAUUAUCUUGGUACUUGCCCACAGAGGAUACAGACAUGGACACUGACUGAUUGACCACGCCUCAAACUCCGUUAUUCAGCCUCUCCAUUUGCAAACUUUUCCUGACCCACUAAAUUGGACUCAACACAACCGACAGAUGUGAUGAACUGAAAGCUGUUUGGCUCAUUUGAACCUGGGUGGAGUCACCUUUCAAUAACAUAUCAGUAUGGCUUCUUCUGUUUUCUUGUUUGAAAUGACAUUACCCAUGUUACUAUUUUGGACUAGCACCUUGUCAAAAAAGAAAAACAAACACACCCAGUAAUGUUUUAGUGGCUUUACUGACACAAUCUUUGUCAAAAUCCAAAACCGUUGAACAACAAUAAAAAGACAAUAUAUAUC
Xenopus laevis (African clawed frog) is the source of this 1359-nucleotide long non-coding RNA. RefSeq lists it as uncharacterized. The transcript is spliced from 5 exons. NCBI's taxonomy places the organism in Eukaryota, Metazoa, Chordata, Amphibia, Anura, Pipidae. The record is from RefSeq and is a predicted model, not a curated record.